UCUCUGUCCAGGAACCUUCUGUCUACCCCUUGAAGCCCUGUAAUGCAGACACUGCCUCUGUGACACUGGGUUGCCUGAUAAGGAACUACUUCCCUGACCCGGUGACUGUGAUCUGGCAUUCAAACUCCCCGAACAUGAGCACAAUGAACUUCCCUGCCCUUGGCUCUGAACUCAAGGUCACCACCAGCCAAGUGACCACCAAGAGCAAGUCAGCCAAGACUUUCACUUGCCAGGUGAUCCAUGCCCCAUCCGGAUUCAAUGGCAAUAAGACGAUCAAAGCAUCGCCUGCCAAUAUCACCCAGCCCACCUUGAAGCUGCUCCAUUCAUCCUGCGACCCCAAAGCUUUCCACUCCACCAUACAGCUCUACUGCUUCGUUUAUGGCCAUGUCCCAAAUGAUGUCACUAUCACCUGGCUAAAGAAUGGACAGCAGAUGUCUAAUGCAUUUCCAAGUGUUUUCCCAAUCAAGAAGGAGGGUAAGCUAGCCUCUACAUACAGUGAACUCAACAUCACCAUGGAGCAAUGGAUGUCUGAGAGCACCUUCUCCUGCAAGGUCACCUCCCAAGGCGAGGACUAUGAGGUCUAUACCCGGAAGUGCCCAGAAUAUGAGCCACGUGGUGUGAAUACCUACCUGAUCCCACCCAGCCCCCUGGACCUGUAUGUAGAAAAGUCUCCCAAGCUUACCUGUCUGGUGGUGGACCUAGAAAGCAAGGAGAAUGUCACUGUGACAUGGGCCCAAGAGCACAGGAAUCCUGCAGGCUUGGCGUCCCAGAGUUAUACCAGGCACUAUAACGCAACAACCAGUAUCACGUCCACCCUGCCAGUGGAUGCCAAGGACUGGAUUGAAGGUGAAGGCUAUAGGUGUACAGUGAGCCACCCUCAGCUGCCCAAGCCCAUUGUGCGUGCCAUCACCAAGGCCCAGG
This is a non-coding RNA of Onychomys torridus (southern grasshopper mouse), 921 nucleotides long. NCBI's taxonomy places the organism in Eukaryota, Metazoa, Chordata, Mammalia, Rodentia, Cricetidae. The record is from the annotation of a RefSeq genome assembly.